RNAcentral lists this small RNA (651 nucleotides) under Pan troglodytes (chimpanzee). RNAcentral describes it as "retained intron". The record is from RNAcentral. Lineage: Eukaryota; Metazoa; Chordata; Mammalia; Primates; Hominidae.
AGCUUGGAAUUCCAGGGCCCACACCUCUGCCUUUUUUGGGAAAUAUUUUGUCCUACCGUAAGGGCUUUUGUAUGUUUGACAUGGAAUGUCAUAAAAAGUAUGGAAAAGUGUGGGGCUUUUAUGAUGGUCGACAGCCUGUGCUGGCUAUCACAGAUCCUGACAUGAUCAAAACAGUGCUAGUGAAAGAAUGUUAUUCUGUCUUCACAAACCGGAGGCCUUUUGGUCCAGUGGGAUUUAUGAAAAGUGCCAUCUCUAUAGCUGAGGAUGAAGAAUGGAAGAGAAUACGAUCAUUGCUGUCUCCAACCUUCACCAGUGGAAAACUCAAGGAGAUGGUCCCUAUCAUUGCCCAGUAUGGAGAUGUGUUGGUGAGAAAUCUGAGGCGGGAAGCAGACACAGGCAAGCCUGUCACCUUGAAAGAGUAAGUAGAAGUGCAGCCAUGGGGUUCUGAGCUGUCAUGAACCCCUCCAGCUGCCUGCCAUGGAGCUGAUAUUCCUGCUGUUGGGUUAUUCCAGUGACCAGACAAAAGGAGGGCUGUGGUAAUGCAACUUCAAUGGGUCUCCCAAGAUGGGGCAGCUCCGAUGAGGAGGUGGGGCAGCUGGAGGAAAAGGAUCUUCUCCCCUGUGCACAGGGGCCAGGGUUUACAUAUCCAUU